CCUUUCCCGCCCUCCGAGGCCUCAACGGCCGUUCGCCUGCUCGGAGGGGAGGGGAGUGGGGCGGAACCGCCCCCGCCUUUCUCCCUCAGCGCGGCGGUAAAUGGCCUCUGGCGCCCGCGGGGGAGAUGUGUCUGAUCGCCGAGGGGAAGGAGACUUCUGCGGGUCCCGCCCGGAUUGGUGCUUCCUGCGCUGUUCUCCCCCCGCCCCGAGCGCCAUGAAAGAUUUGCACGCCCGCUUCCCCCACGUCCUUCCAGCAGGACGUAGCUGGCAAGGAAAACUCACUUCCUCCUCCCCGCCCCCGUGGGCUAAAAGAGGUUAGACAUUCCUUGGAGUAGCAUCUGGCACCACUGAUGAUACCUUGGAUCUCUUGAUAGAGGAUGGAAUUUUCUGCAUAGCAACUCAUUUUAAUUAAUGACUUGCAUAAUAAUAAUUGUCCUUGUAGAGACACACAGAACUGAGGUUUGCCUUGGCUUUUGUAUUCUGACACUGUGUCUUUGGACUUGACCCCAGGACAGGUCCAGCCAUUAGCUCUCAAGGUCCUGACAAAGAAGGUGAUAACUUCAGCAAUUAGCACUGUUUCAGCAGUGCACAGGAAUGCAAAUUGCUGGUAACGCCCUUAUCAUUCCCGC
Long non-coding RNA from Dromaius novaehollandiae (emu), 629 nucleotides. RefSeq lists it as uncharacterized. The record is from RefSeq and is a predicted model, not a curated record. Lineage: Eukaryota; Metazoa; Chordata; Aves; Casuariiformes; Dromaiidae. The transcript has 4 exons.